CCUCUGUCUCUUUGUAGAGAAGAGUCAUUUGCUGACUGCGUGCUAGCUGAAAAGGGACUCCCCACAGAGCAAGAACAGCUGUCCCCUUGCUUCAUGCACUCAAAUUCCCUCCGUUGGGCCGCGCUGGGGAUGCGCUGUCGGCCACCUCCUGCCUGAUGUGGUGUGGGCUGCCCAGGAGAUGAGGCAGCUGUCCGAGGUGGAUGAUGUGUGCUCAGACCUCCAGGAACCGGCAAAUGAGGCCUCAUGGAAAGAACGUGAGGUGGAGGUGGAGGGGAACAAGAGUGGGGAAAUCCCUCCAGGCGGCCUCCUGCACCCCCAGGCUCUGGAGACAGCCUUCACUGGACGCUGGAAUAUCAGAUGGGGUGAAGACAGAAAAUGCUGUGCUGGCCUGGCCCUCCCACAAACAGUCCAGUUUCACGGUCUGAAGAGGAGACAAAGCAAAUCCGUGGGAUGCCGAGGGCACUUGGAUAACCUCCGCUCGGGAGAGAAGCCCAAACUCCGCAUCCCGGAGACCUGAAGAGUGGCCGCCAGUGGACACCCAGCUGAGGGAUGAGCAGGGAUUAUCAAAGCCGUUCUAAAAGUCGAAGAGUCCUGUGUGUAUAUGUUUUGGGGGUCAGAAGAAAGAAGCGAGUGCCCAGGAGGCAGUGUGGAGUUUUCAUGGAUGACCUCCCAGGCUUGUCUCCUCCUGACCCAGGGCAGGCCGCCAGAUGGGCGUUCCAGCCCAGGGGAGAGCUGUGCUCAGCAGAGCCCCAGCUCCAUAGAAUCUGCAGCCUCUCAUGCCUUUUGAUUAUGGUGCUGAUGAAAGCGGAGGAAGCAGCUCUUCUCUCAGCAUCGGCUACUCCACUUUGCAAGGCCUGCGUUUGGGUUAUGCUUUUCAAGUAAGGAGAUGUUGCUACCCUGGGAAUCAUGUCAAUGUGUUCUUAAUAUUUAGGGCUUAUUGGUACAUGCCUGCUGACUCAGUGAAGGUCCUAUUGGAUGACAAAAACAAGCAGACCAAAAACUCAAAGUGACUGAUAUGGUCUGCGUGGCCACAGCUUGAUCUGGGCUCAUUUUAGAGGCGCCGGGCUGUGCUGUCCUGUCCCAGGCCACUUGCUGCACACAGCUGUUGGGCGCUGGAAGGGUGGAGACUCGAGUGGAGGUGGGUGCCGAGUUGAAAACCUACACCAGAUUUCAAAGACAAAACAAAGGAAAA
Gorilla gorilla gorilla (western lowland gorilla) is the source of this 1192-nucleotide long non-coding RNA. RefSeq lists it as uncharacterized. The transcript is spliced from 4 exons. Lineage: Eukaryota; Metazoa; Chordata; Mammalia; Primates; Hominidae. The record is from RefSeq and is a predicted model, not a curated record.